This 253-nucleotide ribosomal RNA is filed under the name uncultured bacterium. RNAcentral describes it as "partial 16S ribosomal RNA". It matches the Rfam family "Bacterial small subunit ribosomal RNA", at positions 524 to 776 of the family's 1533-position model. The record is from RNAcentral.
UACAGAGGCCCCGAGCGUUAGGCGGAAUCACUGGGCUUAAAGCGUGUGUAGGUGGAUGCCUAAGUACCUUGUGAAAUCCCACGGCUUAACCGUGGAAUUGCUGGGUAUACUGGGUGUCUUGAGCCACUCAGGGGCUACCGGAACAAAUGGUGGAGCGGUGAAAUGCGUAGAUAUCAUUUGGAACGCCAAUGGUGAAAACAGGUAGCUGGGGGUGUGCUGACGCUGAGACACGAAAGCCAGGGGAGCAAACGGG